This 731-nucleotide long non-coding RNA is filed under the name Equus asinus (donkey). RNAcentral's name for it is "lncRNA (ENSEASG00005025707.1)". Lineage: Eukaryota; Metazoa; Chordata; Mammalia; Perissodactyla; Equidae. The record is from RNAcentral.
AAAGAAAUCAGUGUAGAGAAGAGAAGAGAUUCCAGGACUGAGCCUGGGAUGCUCUAAUGUUAAGAGUUUAGGAAGAUGAGAAGAAGCAAAGGGAACUGAGAAAGAGUAACCAGCAAGGUCAAAAGAGGGGGAGUUUAGUGUCCUGGAAGUCAAUGAAGAAAAGUUUUCAAGGAGAAGGAAGUGAUCUAUGGUUUCAAAUCCCACUGACAGCUGAGUGAGAUGAGCAGCAUUUUGUCAAUGUAAAGAGAUACAGACUCUCUUACUGCCAAUUCACUUUAUUCCCGGGGCCUCGUCUCACCUGUCUCAAAAGUGAACUUCGUAUUUGGUUGUCGGGAUUCAGAAACACAUUCUGGAUAAGGAUGGAGCAUCACAGGACGGCUCGUGUCGGAGGAAGGGAUUUCUCCUGGGUUGUGCUGUUGUUAAUCACUCCAGAUACGUCUGAACGACAACAAACUCCCCAAGGGUUCCUUUCGAAAGCUCACACUUUGUUCUCCAAAGCCAUUGGGCCAAACAGCAACCAACAAACACAAAACAGCCCAUUUAAGAAAUCAAUACAGAGCCAGUCUUGAUGACCUAGUGGUUAAAGUUUGGUGCUCACUGAGUUUGCUGCGGCGGCCCGGGUUCGCUUCCAGGAUGCAGAACCACACCACCCAACUGUCAGGUGCCAUGCUGUGGGGGCGGCUCACACAGAAGAACCAGAAAGACUUACAACCAUGAGUACAACCGCAUAC